This 419-nucleotide ribosomal RNA is filed under the name uncultured bacterium. RNAcentral describes it as "bacterial SSU rRNA". It matches the Rfam family "Bacterial small subunit ribosomal RNA", at positions 355 to 774 of the family's 1533-position model. The record is from RNAcentral.
UGAGGAAUAUUGCACAAUGGGCGCAAGCCUGAUGCAGCGACGCCGCGUGUGGGAUGAAGGGGCUACGCCUCGUAAACCACUGUAGCCCGGGACGAAAAACGCCUUAGAGGCGUUAGACGGUACCGGGAAAGUAAGGGUCGGCUAACUACGUGCCAGCAGCCGCGGUAAUACGUAGGACCCAAGCGUUGUCCGGAUUUACUGGGUUUAAAGGGUGCGUAGGUGGGCUUAUAAGUCAGUGGUGAAAUCUCCGAGCUUAACUUGGAAACUGCCGUUGAUACUAUAGGUCUUGAAUUAUCUGGAGGUAAGCGGAAUAUGUCAUGUAGCGGUGAAAUGCUUAGAUAUGACAUAGAACACCAAUUGCGAAGGCAGCUUACUACAUAUAAAUUGACGCUGAGGCACGAAAGCGUGGGGAUCAAACA